Molecule: ribosomal RNA, 315 nt
Filed under: Triticum aestivum (bread wheat)
Lineage: Eukaryota; Viridiplantae; Streptophyta; Magnoliopsida; Poales; Poaceae
Description: partial small subunit ribosomal RNA
Source: RNAcentral
AUGUUGAACAACGAUAACUUCUCUGGAGAUACCCUGAAACUCCCGAUGGAUUGUGUGCCUCAUCUGAUGUCUCUGCAUGGUCGCCUCUCAGUUUUGAACAUACUGCCAGGUAAAUCUACGGAGCUCACCUGUGCAUAUGGGAUUUCUAAAACCCGUGAACACAUGAUCAUCAGAGAAUGGAAGAAAUGUAUGGACAUUCGCAAGGAGGUUCUUGGAAGUAACAUUCAGCGAAAGGCAAGAAUUGGAGACAGGCUAAUCUCCAUUCUCCAUAAUGGAGAGUCAGGGGCUAUCUUGUUUUUUGUUAUUUUACCUUAG